Carya illinoinensis is the source of this 349-nucleotide long non-coding RNA. RefSeq lists it as uncharacterized. The transcript has 2 exons. The record is from RefSeq and is a predicted model, not a curated record. Lineage: Eukaryota; Viridiplantae; Streptophyta; Magnoliopsida; Fagales; Juglandaceae.
AGGAUGAGCCCUAUAUUGCAGCAGCAGUCAUUUACAUUAUCACCCAGCUUUCAGAUGAUAAGAAACCUCUUAAAGAUAUCUCAGUUGCUACUGGAGUUGCAGAAGGGACAAUAAGGAAUUCCUACAAGGAUCUUUAUCCCCGUGUAUCAAAGAUAAUUCCAGGCUGGUAUGCCAAGGAGGAGGAUCUCAAGAACCUUUGCAGCCCUUGAAAUGUAGAGCAAACAACAACGGGAAAGUUAGCAUUGCCAAGUUGGUUUUGCCGUUUUGAGGGGUGUUCGAUCUCUCUGAUGUAUUUAACUCUUUUACACAAUUCGAUUCCCCUAAUAGCAUUGCGAUAUAUUUAUUUAUA